UUGUAAUAAAGGGCCUUGUUCUUGGCUGAGAAUUUCACAUCCAAUAAAUCAAACCGAUGACCAACAAUAUGGUGGAAAAGCAGAACCAAACAAUAAAAUUACACUUCAAAAUCCAAGGAUUUCAGAACUCAAAGGGACCUCAGAGACGACAGAGUUGCAGAGGAUGCAGCAGGUGAGUCCUGUAGACAUCAGAGGGGCUUCGACGCUGCACAGCUGCCACUCAGAGGGGACACUGCUGGCCUCGAUCACAUCAUGGAGACCACAAGGAUGCUGGGAAUGCACUUCCCAUUGGCCGAGCUGAG
Molecule: long non-coding RNA, 302 nt
Filed under: Homo sapiens (human)
Lineage: Eukaryota; Metazoa; Chordata; Mammalia; Primates; Hominidae
Description: HSALNT0248641
Source: RNAcentral